GACGAACGCUGGCGGCGUGCUUAACACAUGCAAGUCGAACGGAAAGGCCCUGCUUUUGUGGGGUGCUCGAGUGGCGAACGGGUGAGUAACACGUGAGUAACCUGCCCUUGUCUUUGGGAUAACUUCAGGAAACUGGGGCUAAUACCGGAUAGGAGCUCCUGCUGCAUGGUGGGGGUUGGAAAGUUUCGGCGGUUGGGGAUGGACUCGCGGCUUAUCAGCUUGUUGGUGGGGUAGUGGCUUACCAAGGCUUUGACGGGUAGCCGGCCUGAGAGGGUGACCGGCCACAUUGGGACUGAGAUACGGCCCAGACUCCUACGGGAGGCAGCAGUGGGGAAUAUUGCACAAUGGGCGGAAGCCUGAUGCAGAAACGCCGCGUGCGGGAUGACGGCCUUCGGGUUGUAAACCGCUUUCGCCUGUGACGAAGAGUGAGUGACGGUAAUGGGUAAAGAAGCACCGGCUAACUACGUG
This 468-nucleotide ribosomal RNA is filed under the name uncultured bacterium. RNAcentral describes it as "partial 16S ribosomal RNA". It matches the Rfam family "Bacterial small subunit ribosomal RNA", at positions 28 to 507 of the family's 1533-position model. The record is from RNAcentral.